CGCUCCCGGCCCCCCGUCACGUUCACGGGGACGAGAGGGGUCGUCCCGCCGGGCGGGCCGGCCGCCGGGCGUUAGCGGGCAGUGCGAAGUCGGGGCCGCGGGCCUGGAGAGCCGCUUGACCAAGUUCUCGUCUGUGCCCUCCGAGGGUUCGGAGCCUCCAGCCGGGGUGAGUCGUGAGGAUACGGGCGGAUGUGCCCCAGGACGGAUGGUUGUGCCCCAAGACGGGCGGAUGUGCCCCAAGACUUGGGCGGAGGUACCCAAAGACCUAGUCGGAUGUGCCCCCAGACCUGGUCAGAUGCGCCCCAGGACGGGCGAUGUGGCCCCAGGACCAGGUCGAAUGUGCCCCCAGGACCUGGUUGGAUGUGCCCCCAAGACAGUCGGAUGUGCCCCCAAAUCUGGUCAGAUGUGCCCCAAGAGGGGCGGAUGUGCCCCAAGACCUGGUCAGAUGUGCCCCCAAGACGGGCGGAUGUGGCCCCAAGACCAAGUCGGAUGUGCCCCGGGACGGACGUGCUGCCGGUUUCGCCAGGGAAGACCUCGCGAGGCCCCUCAGUUUCCGGCAGCAGAAGCGUGGUUAGCCUUGUGUUCUGAACGCACGGAAUAAGACAGGUGUUCGAGACAUGGUUCCAGUAAGAUACUCGCUCUGGCUUCCUGCCGCCCGUGAGUCUUUGCCCUUUGGGGGGACGGUCCCCCAAGAUGUGUCUGCCCGCUUUUCUUCCAGUCGGCUGAAUGCUGCAUUCUCCACAGUGUUGCCUCAGGCAGCUCCACGGAGAUGGCCCUGAGCUGGGCUGCCGGGCUGUGGGUUCAGGGCCCGUAUCCCACCCGACGCCGGGCCGGCCAGCCCAGGCUGCGGCUCUCGGGUAUUUGCCAGGGUCUCCACCUCGCGCCCCUCGGCCCGACGCCAUCUCCUGCGUCCAGCUGCUCUCGCGGCCGGUUAACGGCUACGGCGUCUGCAGACGCUUGCCAUCGAGGGAGACCCGGUGACCCCAAGGGGAAAUAGACACUGGUCACGGUUCAGGAUUCUGCUGGGCGGGACAGCCAGUCCCCGCAGGGCCCGCAGGGGGAAGGAGCGGGUGCAAGGCCGGGAGCUGGCCCCCCCUCUCCCUAGAGAGCCCUCAAGUACCCAGACGCAAGAGGGUGCGACCGUGACCGCCGUCGGCAGAGAGCUGUUACCAGGCCUUGUCCAGAGGGUGGAAAGGAAAGUGUCCCCUAUUGUCUCCCCAGAAUGACACACAAAACAGGGACAAAGAGAGCCUGCCUGGCUGGAAGGGCUCUCGGCCCCCGAUUUCCGCAGUGGCCCUGGGGACAGCAGACAACAGGCAGGGACAGCAGAAAACGUGGGACGACAGCCCGCUUUGUGCACCACCGGCUGGCCGCGAGAGAGGCUGAGGCUUUCUGCAGCCGUGUCCAUCCAAUUUCAGGAGAACCGGAACCGUGGGAGGGUUCAGCGGGCCCAUUGUGCCCCUGCCCUGCCCCCCCCCACAACCCCCCCGGACUCCUGGGGCCCAGCCUCCCCGCGGGCAGUUAGCACAGCUUUUUGGGAGAAGGUCCUGCUGAGCACUGGGCCCUGGAACUGGGACGGGUCAGAGCUGGGGCCUAAGGCAGCUCGGAGAGGGUGGCCCCACAGCGAGUGCCCCGGGGCUGGAUGUGGGGCCCUCGGCUUGCCCCUUGUCACUCGUUCCAUCCCGCCCUCGUGACUUCCACCCCCUGACCCCACCGCGGCCUCCCUCCCCAACAGGGACACCCGUCUGCCGUCCUGUCAGCACCAGGACGGAGAAGGUUCUCCCUGCUUCCCGUGGGUUACCGAGCGGAGGGUUUGUUGGGGUUUUCUGGGUUUUGGUCUCAAGACUUUACUAUAGUUUGCAGGGGGAAAUUUCCAGAAGGGCAAGGAAGGCAGCACUCUGCUUGGAGCCAAAGAAAACACUCAGAACAAGACACGGCGUUUCUUGCCCGUAGGAGGAGUGGGCAGGCGGCCCUCCGGCCUGGGGGGCUGCCUGGGCAAGGGACAGGUUGGACAGCCGCCUGGCACCUACCCCCCGCCACCCGUCCCUCUGCUUCCGAGCGCUCGGCACGUGGGGCGGUCCCGGGGCCCUCGAGAAAGCAGGGUCCCGAGAGACGGCGGCGGCACCACGUGAGCCCCACGCCUCCCACACCCCCAGAGAAGCGCACGCAGGGCGGCCGGCCUGGCUGGAGCCGGACGAGAGCCCGGGCCCGGGGAGAGGAGCCCCGGGCAGCUAACGCUGACCACUGACCUGCGGAGGAGAAGGACGCCAGCCCGACGGCAGUCACGGGAGCUUGGGGUAGCAGCCUGCCUUCGGGGACUUUUAAGUCAGCCACCGCGGACAGAUCACCUCCGGCCUGGCCAAGCGCGGGGCUCCGUUUCUCCAGGAGGUGACGUCUGUCCAGAGCCGGGCACCGGGGGCAGGCGGGCAGGGCUGCGAAGGCAGACCGCGGCCCAGCGGGGAGGACAGGACAGGUAAUUUCCAUGCCCAACGUGGGGCUCAAACUCACAACCCCAAG
Long non-coding RNA from Leopardus geoffroyi (Geoffroy's cat), 2517 nucleotides. RefSeq lists it as uncharacterized. The transcript is spliced from 3 exons. The record is from RefSeq and is a predicted model, not a curated record. NCBI's taxonomy places the organism in Eukaryota, Metazoa, Chordata, Mammalia, Carnivora, Felidae.